Danio rerio (zebrafish) is the source of this 73-nucleotide non-coding RNA. Lineage: Eukaryota; Metazoa; Chordata; Actinopteri; Cypriniformes; Danionidae. The record is from Rfam.
GCCUCGUUGGCGCAGUAUGCAGCGCGUCAGUCUCAUAAUGUCAAGGUCGUGAGUUCGAGCCUCACAUGGAGCA